GGUUACUGCUAUCGGUGUUCGCCUAAGCCAUGCGAGUCAUAUGUUCUUCGGAACAUGGCGUACUGCUCAGUAACACGUGGAUAACCUGCCCUUGGGUCCGGCAUAACCCCGGGAAACUGGGGAUAAUUCCGGAUAACGCACAUAUGCUGGAAUGCUUUAUGCGUCAAAUGGAUUCGUCCGCCCAAGGAUGGGUCUGCGGCCUAUCAGGUAGUAGUGGGUGUAAUGUACCUACUAGCCUACGACGGGUACGGGUUGUGAGAGCAAGAGCCCGGAGAUGGAUUCUGAGACAUGAAUCCAGGCCCUACGGGGCGCAGCAGGCGCGAAAACUUUACAAUGCGGGAAACCGUGAUAAGGGGACACCGAGUGCCAGCAUCAUAUGCUGGCUGUCCGGGUGUGUAAAAUACACCUGUUAGCAAGGGCCGGGCAAGACCGGUGCCAGCCGCCGCGGUAACACCGGCGGCCCGAGUGGUGAUCGUGAUUAUUGGGUCUAAAGGGUCCGUAGCCGGUUUGGUCAGUCCUCCGGGAAAUCUGACGGCUUAACCGUUAGGCUUUCGGGGGAUACUGCCAGACUUGGAACCGGGAGAGGUAAGAGGUACUACAGGGGUAGGAGUGAAAUCUUGUAAUCCCUGUGGGACCACCUGUGGCGAAGGCGUCUUACCAGAACGGGUUCGACGGUGAGGGACGAAAGCUGGGGGCACGAACCGGAUUAGAUACCCGGGUAGUCCCAGCCGUAAACGAUGCUCGCUAGGUGUCAGGCAUGGCGCGACCGUGUCUGGUGCCGCAGGGAAGCCGUGAAGCGAGCCACCUGGGAAGUACGGCCGCGAGGCUGAAACUUAA
This 837-nucleotide ribosomal RNA is filed under the name uncultured archaeon. RNAcentral describes it as "bacterial SSU rRNA". It matches the Rfam family "Archaeal small subunit ribosomal RNA", at positions 21 to 859 of the family's 1478-position model. The record is from RNAcentral.